GUCUUGUAGAGGGGGUAGAAUUCCAGGUGUAGCGGUGAAAUGCGUAGAGAUCUGGAGGAAUACCGGUGGCGAAGGCGGCCCCCUGGACAAAGACUGACGGCUCAGGAUGCGAAAGCGUGGGGAGCAAACAGGAUUAGAUACCCUGGUAGUCCACGCCGUAAACGAUGUCGAUUUGGAGGUUGUGCCCUUGAGGCGUGCUUCCGGAGCUAACGCGUUAAAUCGACGCCUGGGGAGUACGGCCGCAAGGUUAAAACUCAAAUGAAUUGACGGGGGCCCGCACAAGCGGUGGAGCAUGUGGUUUAAUUCGAUGCAACGCGAAGAACCUUACCUGGUCUUGACAUCCACAGAACUUUCCAGAGAUGGAUUGGUGCCUUCGGGAACUGUGAGACAGGUGCUGCAUGGCUGUCGUCAGCUCGUGUUGUGAAAUGUUGGGUUAAGUCCCGCAACGAGCGCAACCCUUAUC
RNAcentral lists this ribosomal RNA (463 nucleotides) under Klebsiella pneumoniae. RNAcentral describes it as "bacterial SSU rRNA". It matches the Rfam family "Bacterial small subunit ribosomal RNA", at positions 646 to 1109 of the family's 1533-position model. Lineage: Bacteria; Pseudomonadati; Pseudomonadota; Gammaproteobacteria; Enterobacterales; Enterobacteriaceae. The record is from RNAcentral.